RNAcentral lists this ribosomal RNA (229 nucleotides) under uncultured bacterium. RNAcentral's name for it is "partial 16S ribosomal RNA". It matches the Rfam family "Bacterial small subunit ribosomal RNA", at positions 118 to 347 of the family's 1533-position model. The record is from RNAcentral.
UGAGCAACCUGCCCCUGGCUCUGGGAUAACUCCGGGAAACCGGAGCUAAUACCGGAUACGAGACCGAUUGGCAUCUUUACGGUCUGGAAAGUUUUUCGGCCAGGGAUGGGCUCGCGGCCUAUCAGCUUGUUGGUGGGGUAACGCCCACCAAGGCAACGAUGCGUAGCCGACCUGAGAGGGUGAUCGGCCACAUUGGAACUGAGACACGGUCCAGACUCCUACGGGAGCA